RNAcentral lists this long non-coding RNA (2353 nucleotides) under Homo sapiens (human). RNAcentral's name for it is "HSALNT0403456". The record is from RNAcentral. Lineage: Eukaryota; Metazoa; Chordata; Mammalia; Primates; Hominidae.
AGAGUUGCGGCAGCACAGGCUUUGCUUGGAGUUGGAUGGUUCGCACCCUGCUUGGCAUGGUUUCUAAGAGACAUCCUCUGAGUGGAUGAGGGGAGAAUCCAGCAGGCCUCUAGUCACACUGGAGAAAAACAAGGAGAGAAAAAUCUAAACCCAGCAGAAGAGAAAGUUUAAGAAAGCGGUCGUCGCCAAUACCAAAAUUAGCUAUGAUAUUCAGGAAGAAAAAAAUGGAAACACGAUAACCACAGUCAAUAAAGACCAAGGCCACAUUCCAUUGACCAGAGCUCAGCCACGCGCCACACCUGGCUAAAGAGACUCUGGCUGAAGAAUUCCCUGAAUAUUUUAAUGUAGCUCUAGGUUAUAACACAGAACAACCACAAGGUGGCAGAAGAACUCCAUUCUUGUAAAUCUCUUAGUUGCUUCUUUAUUUCAUCUUCCCUAUUCCAUCUAAUGUUCCCUGAAUUUUACUAUUUUGUUGGUUUGAAAAUAUGUGUGACUUACGUCCUUUAAAGGAUUUGGUUCGUAAGGUUUUGAAUAGACUGGAAUAUAAAACAUUUAUAGAAAAGAAAAAUACCUACAGUAUGAUGUUAGUGAACUAUUAAUAAUCCAAUUAAAUAAAAUAUAUUUGCUUUGGAUUAAUACAUAUUUUGUUUUGAUGUUUGCUAAAUAAAACUAAGCAUUAGGAGGCCAAAUAGCCACAAUGAACAUUUUCAUAUUAUUUAAUAAGCCAGUUUCAAGGCAUACAUGCUAAAUUUGUUCUUAAGGAAAAGUUGAAUUUUUGCUUUCAUGAAAUUACAAACUCUAAGGCAAUUUUACACGUGUAAAUCCAAUGUGUUCUGAAGUUUAAAGUGUCAAAGGCUGUUGGAUUUAAACAGAUCUUGUAUGACUCUCUGUUUCAUCUCUUCAGAGGUUGAUAGUAAGCAACUUUGGCAGCAACUCACAGCUUCUGCUGUAACAUGAGGCUAAUAAUGACGACUUUAUAAGGUUGUUGCAAAGAGUCAGGGAUGCCACAAGCAACGUUCUUUAUAUAUGCAGAAUUUUAAAAAUAAAGUAAAUAAAAAUAUUCCUUCCUCUAUUCCCCAUUUUUCUAACAUUAUUUGCAACUGGUGUUUUAAUGCAAGACCAAAGGCUAAAAUAUACAUGUAGCUAGCAGAAUCAAAACCUAGAUCAGAUGUUCAAAAGCAUCAUGCUGCUAAAAGAUUUCAGAGUCUAAAACCUGUGCUCACUCUUCUGAAACAUCUUUCCACUUCCUGUUUAAAAAAAAACGUGAUAUUCUUUGAAGCUCAUUUUUUGGGCUUCAUGUGUUGUAAUUAUACAUUUGUUAUAUAGGGUAUAUGAUGACUUACGCUCUAAGGUAUUAUUCAGUACAUUGUAGAAAAAGGAGAAUAAAGAAUGUUGUUUGUCAGUAGGCAGCUCUGUCCUCUUUAUCCUUGACUGUAAUUUACUAAAGAGCUGACAAAAUUACAGCACAGGCAGCAAUUCACCAUAUUACCCUGCAGACAGCCAAGAGACUGACAUUGAGAUGAUGCGUUUUAACUUGGGUCCAUGUAAGGAACCUGAUGGGGUUAUAUGAAUUCUUUUCUGUACUAUGAAAAAAUGAAGUUGCUAAUAAGAAGGAGGUACAAAAGUGUGUACUCUGCGCAAGGCUACUGAUAAAGAUGCUACAGGGAUGCGUGGAAACCCAAUAUGUAACACUGAAAUGGCUUUUGAUUCAUUUGUAUUUGGUCUCAGACAAGAAAAUAGAUUAAGAAAAGGUCUGAAAAAAUGGAGCACUAGGAAAAAUGAUAGGAAAUUUUGUGUUGUUGAUAGUUAUCUAAUAUGAAAUACACGUUUGUAAUAUUUUGACAUAUAUGAUUUAAUACAACUAUAUUUUGUAAUAAAUAUCUUUAAUUCUAAGGAUUGAAAAUCUUAAAAGGAUCUAAAUUUUAUAGUUAUAGCUGUUUUGUUUCAAUAGGCUGAUGGACUUGGAAAUUCCAGGUUUCUUAAACAUAUUCGAUGAACUUGAAAAGCAGGGGGAGAUACUUUCAGAUGGCCUUGAAUGGGAGCGGGGGGACCCUGGAUUUCACUGGACACAUCUUUCUUCCUUUCUUCUCUGUAGUUUGGGACCUCUUCUUCUCAACUAGUCAGCAAUUAUAAGAAUGAAAAUUACCAGCCGGGCGCGAUGGCUCACGCCUGUAAUCCCAGCCCUUUGGGAGGCCAAGGCGGGGGGAUCACGAGGUCAGAAGAUCGAGACCAUCCUGGCUAACACGGUGAAACCCCGUCUCUACUAAAAAAUACAAAGAAUCAGCCGGGCAUGGUGGCGGGUGCCUGUAGUCCCAGCUACUCAGGAGACUGAGGCAGGAGAAUGGUGUGAAUC